This 728-nucleotide long non-coding RNA is filed under the name Equus caballus (horse). Its description in RNAcentral is "lncRNA (ENSECAG00000042414.2)". Lineage: Eukaryota; Metazoa; Chordata; Mammalia; Perissodactyla; Equidae. The record is from RNAcentral.
CUGAGUUCCACAGAAGAUUGAACUCUCAACCAUGACAAAUGCGAUGGGGAAAUCUGAGUUGAUGGACUGAAAAUCUUGAAUCUGAAUUCCUUUGAAUCUUCUGAGCCCACAGAAGUAGCCCACUCCUCCCUUUGAAGAUGGAAGUGCAUGUUGUAGAGGAUAAAGUCUGUCCUGCAUGCUGUGCAGUGUCCUGGUGAUACUGGCCCGGACUCACUGAUGCUGUCAUGUCCUCAUGGUCUCUAAGUGAUUUGAUACCUCUGUGUGCUGUCUCACAGUCUCUUGGCCUCACUUCUGACUCCAACUAUGGCUACGGCAAACAGUUCUUGUGGCCUUUGACUCACUAGCAAUAUCUCACCUUAAGCACACACCAGCCAUUUUCAUUUGCUGUCCCAGUCCUUCUCUGACAGCGGAAUGGAACUACAAAUGGAAAGCUGAAGAACACUAUGGCAUUUCUGGCAGUCAAGAUUUGGAAAGUUACACACUAAGAAGCUAUAAUAUGCUUAAGGAUAAUUUCCACCUAAUAAAGAGAACAGAAAUUUUGUUUAUGCAACCAAAUAGAGAGUUACUGUAUAGAGCAUAUAUUUUCUGAAUCAAACAGAACAGAGAAUGACGGCAUUGAGACAUGUAGAAAUACCCUUAUAAUGACAGAGCUGUCAUGUGGAAUCAUGUGUUAUUUCAUGUGUCCAUUCCAUCUGAAUGAGCAAUAAAACCAUCUUGGAAAAGAAUAA